CUACGGGUGGCUCCAGUAAGGAAUAUUGCGCAAUGGAGGCAACUCUGACGCAGCCAUGCCGCGUGCAGGAAGAAGGCCUUAUGGGUCGUAAACUGCUUUUAUUUAGGAAUAAACCCCCGAACGUGUUCGGGGCUGAAGGUACUAAACGAAUAAGCACCGGCUAACUGCGUGCCAGCAGCCGCGGUAAUACGGAGGGUGCAAGCGCUAUCCGGAUUUAUUGGGUUUAAAGGGUGCGCAGGCGGGCUAUUAAGUCAGUGGUGAAAUCCCGGGGCUCAACUCCGGAACUGCCAUUGAUACUGAUAGUCUUGAGUUUGGUUGAAGUGGGCGGAAUGUAGCAUGUAGCGGUGAAAUGCAUAGAUAUGCUACAGAACACCAAUCGCGAAGGCAGCUCACUAAGCCAAAACUGACGCUCAUGCACGAAAGCGUGGGGAUCAAACAGGAUUAGAUACCCUAGUAGUC
Molecule: ribosomal RNA, 459 nt
Filed under: uncultured bacterium
Lineage: Bacteria
Description: partial 16S ribosomal RNA
Rfam family: Bacterial small subunit ribosomal RNA
Source: RNAcentral